UAGAUGGGCCUAAUUAAAAAGUUAAUGGGCUUAUUUAUGGGCUUGAACUUAGCUCAACGUUUCACGAGUGUAUUUGAUGGGGGGGGGGGGGGGAGGAGGGGGGGGGGGGGGGGGGGAUAUUCCAAAAGAUGUUCUUUGAAUCUGUUGGCCUAGUUGCAAGUGACCGUUUUAUCCUCAAUAUGUACCAACCGGUUUUAUUCGGUGAACCAAACUCAACCGUUGCAAUUUUGUUUGGGUUAGUGAUGAAUGCAUCAUUCCUUUAUUUUUUUCACUCAUUGAUGGAAAUCAAAUCUAGACUAUUAAUUCAGUUUUGGCUAUGGAGAGAAUACGGAUGGAGAUUAAAGCAAUGAAAAGGUCUAGGGAAACAAAUUGAACCAGACGUACUCAGUUUUAUCGGUACGACUAUGGUAUGUAUUUUAGUAGGGGUAAAAUCGUCCGGUACAAAAUAAGAGGCUUCAUCACGAUGGUAUAAGCUCGUCUAGUCGUCUUGCUCCUCUUGGCAAAAAGGAAAACAAAAACACAUUUGGCUCAAGUCAGAACCUAUUUUUUUGUAGUCACAGAAAAACUAAAGAAGUCACUCGUACAACUUCUUGAACUCAUGAGGAUCAAGAAAAAUGGCGCUUCUACUUCUUUCACUUCAUCUUCCAUGUGCAAGGUCCGUUUGUCUGGUUUUUCUCAAGUCUUCUCAAAUCUAUUAUAAAAGGUUAUUCGGUGUGAGCAUAUUCCGGUAUGCAGUUGCGGUUUAGUUGUGAUUUUGGUUUAUUAUGAGCAUGUUCUGGAAUCUAUAACCAUUUAGAAUUGGGUCCAUAUUGGUGAAGUCAUUUGUGCUCUGUUGGGCCCUCUUCUAAUCUUACGACGUGUACUAAUUACCUGUUUAAAUAUUGUAAUUUUAUUAAUAAGAAUAUAAAAGUACUGCUUA
Long non-coding RNA from Brassica rapa (field mustard), 919 nucleotides. RefSeq lists it as uncharacterized. NCBI's taxonomy places the organism in Eukaryota, Viridiplantae, Streptophyta, Magnoliopsida, Brassicales, Brassicaceae. The record is from RefSeq and is a predicted model, not a curated record.